This 233-nucleotide long non-coding RNA is filed under the name Actinidia chinensis (golden kiwifruit). RNAcentral's name for it is "long non-coding RNA (ACHI_LNC000502)". Lineage: Eukaryota; Viridiplantae; Streptophyta; Magnoliopsida; Ericales; Actinidiaceae. The record is from RNAcentral.
GGAAGGGUCGGUUAUUAAAAUGAAAGAGCAGGAAACAAUGGGAUGAGACAAUGUAGAAGUAAAAAGAAAGAGGAAAGAAAACAAGCUAACUAUGAUACAAAAACUGUUUGUAAAUCGGUUUUAAGAACUCCCAUGAGAUCUUACAGAUGAAAUUGAAUGCGCUGAGACAGAAGCAGUUGGGCUGUUGAGAUCCCGAUCCCCUUGGCAACUUUGGAUUUUCCACUCAAUCUCUC